CUUCAUUCAUAUCACAACAAAGGAGUGAUUCAAAUUAAUUACACAAUAAAUAUAUAAAUUCGAUUGAUUGAAAAAUCUCAUAAUUACACAUCGUGUGAUCAGAACAAUUCUGAUUGGUCAAGGUUCUGCCGGCAAAACCAGUUUAGACCAGACAAAAAAUAUGUAUGGUGUGUGUGUCUAUAUAUAUAUAUAUAUACAUAUAUAUAUAUAUAUAUAUAUAUUUGUGCAACAUACACUUUGUAUAUUUUAUAGUGAUCAUAAGGCAACACCUUCACACUGAUAUAUGUAUAAGUGUACCUUAUUUAGGUAUAUUAAGAGUUCCUGGGGAUGUCACAAUCUUACUAUAAACAUCCUGUUUUACUAACAAAUGCUGUAAUAUAGAUACUGACCACAGUGUGUCACAGAGCCUUCACUUUGGGACAUAUAGUGACAUAUAGCCAGGAUACUUUAUAUAUGCUGCAUCCAUAGAUUUAAUGUUAUACUGCAUUACUCUGAUUGCAUGGGACUUUAUUGCUGAACUAUAUAUUCUGCAUUAUUUAAAGUGACUCAGUAUAUUUCCAUCACUAUCAUCGAGGAAAAAAACAAAAUAAAAAUUCUCUUAUAUUACCACUGAAUAAAACUGCCACAGGGAUAAGGAUUUCCUUGGGUGUUACUGUCCUGCAGUGGUGUCACUGGGAGGGCAGAGGGGGCCAUGGCCCCCCCUACAUCAUGCUGUGGCCAUGUUCUUCAAUUCUAUUCCCUCAGACUGUAACAAUCUGUGACAGCGUGAGGGAAUGAAGGACUGAGGUGCCGGGUGUUGUCUGUGGCUGGAGGGAGCACUGACAGGCUCCCGGCACAGGCCCCACCCCCACAUGAAGCCCCACCUCCUGUAGAUAAGCCCCCUCACCCCUGCCGUUAAGCAGCAGACCAUGCUGCUGCUGGAAAGAAUGGAAGAUGGCUGUCUGACCCCCAGCAACAGCCUCCAGUGACAGGUAGGCUUAUUGUAUGUGUGUGUGUGUGUGUGUGUGUGUCUAUGGAUUCAGUAGAGUCUGUGUGUUUGUGUGUGGACUCAGCAGUCUGUGUGUGUGUAUGGACUCAGCAGUCUGUGUGUGUGUGUGUGUGGACUCAGCAGUCUGUGUGUGUGUGUGUAUGGAUUCAGCAAAGUCUGUGUGUAUGUGUGUGUGUGUGUGUGUGUGUGGACUCAGCGGUGUGUGUGUGUAUGGACUCAGCGGUCUGUGUGUGUGUGUGUGUGUGUAUGUGGACUCAGCAGUCUGUGUGUGUGUGUGUA
Non-coding RNA from Pelobates cultripes (western spadefoot toad), 1267 nucleotides. The record is from the annotation of a GenBank genome assembly. Lineage: Eukaryota; Metazoa; Chordata; Amphibia; Anura; Pelobatidae.